AGUGAACGCUGGCGGUAGGCCUAACACAUGCAAGUCGAACGGCAGCACAGUAAGAGCUUGCUCUUACGGGUGGCGAGUGGCGGACGGGUGAGGAAUACAUCGGAAUCUACUUUUUCGUGGGGGAUAACGUAGGGAAACUUACGCUAAUACCGCAUACGACCUACGGGUGAAAGCAGGGGAUCUUCGGACCUUGCGCGAUUGAAUGAGCCGAUGUCGGAUUAGCUAGUUGGCGGGGUAAAGGCCCACCAAGGCGACGAUCCGUAGCUGGUCUGAGAGGAUGAUCAGCCACACUGGAACUGAGACACGGUCCAGACUCCUACGGGAGGCAGCAGUGGGGAAUAUUGGACGAUGGGCGCAAGCCUGAUCCAGCCAUACCGCGUGGGUGAAGAAGGCCUUCGGGUUGUGAAGCCCUUUUGUUGGGAAAGAAAAGCAGCAGGUUAAUACCCCGCUGUUCUGACGGUACCCAAAGAAUAAGCACCGGCUAACUUCGUG
This 492-nucleotide ribosomal RNA is filed under the name uncultured bacterium. RNAcentral's name for it is "partial 16S ribosomal RNA". It matches the Rfam family "Bacterial small subunit ribosomal RNA", at positions 29 to 507 of the family's 1533-position model. The record is from RNAcentral.